Molecule: ribosomal RNA, 429 nt
Filed under: Gemmatimonadota bacterium
Lineage: Bacteria; Pseudomonadati; Gemmatimonadota
Description: Gemmatimonadetes bacterium partial 16S ribosomal RNA
Rfam family: Bacterial small subunit ribosomal RNA
Source: RNAcentral
UAGGGAAUCUUCGGCAAUGGACGAAAGUCUGACCGAGCAACGCCGCGUGAGUGAAGAAGGUUUUCGGAUCGUAAAACUCUGUUGUUAGAGAAGAACAAGGACGUUAGUAACUGAACGUCCCCCUACGGUAUCUAACCAGAAAGCCACGGCUAACUACGUGCCAGUAGCCGCGGUAAUACGUAGGUGGCAAGCGUUGUCCGGAUUUAUUGGGCGUAAAGCGAGCGCAGGCGGUUUCUUAAGUCUGAUGUGAAAGCCCCCGGCUCAAGCGAGGAGGGUCAUUGGAAACUGGGAGACUUGAGUGCAGAAGAGGAGAGUGGAAUUCCAUGUGUAGCGGAGAAAUGCGUAGCUAUAUGGAGGAACACCAGUGGCGAAGGCGGCUCUCUGGUCUGUAACGGACGCUGAGGCUCGAAGGCGUGGGGAGCAAACAGG